UUGUGUCUUUUCUUUUGUGUCAUUCAGGAUCAAGAUUUACUCACCAUGUUUGUGUGUUCUAUUGUUAGCCUCUUCUUAGUGAUGUGGUGCACAGGUUCAAACUCUCAGCCUCUUCUGACCCAGCAAGCAUCAGCCUUGGUACCAGUAGGAGGCGCACUGAAAAUCUCCUGUGUCGGUAGCACUGACCUCAGCAUCAGUGGCCAAUAUGUCUCCUGGUACCAGCAAAAGCCUGGGACCUCCCCACGAUACCUCUUAGCAUAUCAUUCAGAUUCCAACAAGUACCAAGGCUCUGGGGUCCCUGCUCGUUUCUCUGGUUCCAAAGACAACUCCAGGAACACCGCCUAUUUGAGCAUCACAGGAGCCCAGGAAGAAGACGAGGCUGACUAUUACUGUGCAACAUAUCAUGGCAGUGGCAGCACUUUUCAGUUUGCACAGUGA
Molecule: non-coding RNA, 438 nt
Organism: Elgaria multicarinata webbii
Lineage: Eukaryota; Metazoa; Chordata; Lepidosauria; Squamata; Anguidae
Source: the annotation of a RefSeq genome assembly